Molecule: long non-coding RNA, 1359 nt
Organism: Alligator mississippiensis (American alligator)
Lineage: Eukaryota; Metazoa; Chordata; Crocodylia; Alligatoridae
Exons: 3
Source: RefSeq, a predicted model, not a curated record
AGGUAUGGAAUGUGCAGAGUUAUCACAGCUUGAAAGUACUUAUGGUAAAAAAUACUUAGGAUCCUUGGUGUUCAGAAAUAUCAGAAGCCACAUCAGCAUCAGGAUGUCAUAUAACACUUUAUUCAAGACUGAGAACAGAGCCAGACGAACAGCUAUGGAGGACCAUGGAAAGAAGUUGUUGCAGUAACACCGUGUUUUAUGUCUUAUAUCUGUAUUUGCUGUAUCUAGCCUGGAUACGUUACCAAACAGCAGGCCCUGGAUUGUACUCUAUUGGUUAUAUACUACCUACCACAGCACAGUAUGACUACACCAAUGUGAAACAGCUUCUGCUGAAACACAGACGUCGGCUCACGAAACCUGGCACCUCAUACAGGGAAAGAAUAUGAACUAGUACUUGGAGUCAGUUGUGCUGGAAGAGUACUAUACUUCAAACCUUCCCUCACAGCUGGAAUUUCUAUUUCAUCCACUUGAAAUGAUUCAGUUCAUUUCAUGCAAGUAGUAAUUCAUAUCCCCAGAAGAACCAGGCUGGCAAAUUAUAUCAGGGAAUAAAAACUUGUCAGUACAUGAAGAGUUGACUUUGGUCUUGACAUAAUCUCUAAGCAUAUAUAGUAUUAGCUGGUGACUAGGCAUGUCCUAAAGAAGUUAUUUGUCUUCUGAAAUGAAAUAUACAAUGAACUGUGGUUCAUCUUAGCUUAGGUAAAGACAUUUAUUUACUUUAUUUCUACAUCAGUGACAGACUAUUCAUGUCAUUCUUUAUUUUACUAAAAUACUCCAUAAAGAGGUAAAUCUUAAUAGCCAAAGCUCAUUAAGAGACUUUUCUAAUAGAUUUGAUUGCUAUUGACCUAGACAUUGACCUAGUGUAUAAUCAUAGACAUUAAAGAUACAAAACACUAAAUAAGUCACCGUAUUAAUCUUUUUGCUACUGCAACUAUUUCUAAUAUUUUCUAGUACCUUGUCUAAUCUACUUUUGAAUGUCCCAUACAGUAAGAUUUCUACCACUUCCCUUGGAAGAACAUCACACUGUUCAAUAGAUCAUCUGUCAAAAACUUUUUCAUUGAUAUUCAAUACUAUUUGGUAGAAAUAUAUCAUUUUGUAACAAGCAGGACAUAGACAUAAAAUUGAAUGAGUUUAUGUACCAAGGGUUUUUUUUUUUAACAAAAAUUAUAACUGGGAAAAUAGUUUUUAAAAAGUCACACCAACAAUUAUGGGCUUUUAAAGCAGAUGUAUAAAAUAAUUAUAUUUUGGUUGUUUGGACUGCUGAACCAAAGUGUCUUCUAAUAAAUCAAAUUCUGUUGAUAUCUUUAUCACAUGUAAGGUAACAAAUCUGUGAGACUAUCAAUCAACAUUAUACCAAUCAAC